Molecule: long non-coding RNA, 460 nt
Organism: Hibiscus syriacus
Lineage: Eukaryota; Viridiplantae; Streptophyta; Magnoliopsida; Malvales; Malvaceae
Exons: 3
Source: RefSeq, a predicted model, not a curated record
CCUUUUGAGAUGAAUAUCCCACAAGCUCUGUUGCCCAAAUCUUCUGCUAAUGGAUUUCCCCGUCAAAGAGGUGAUAGAGAGGGUGGGGCUAGGUUGGAGAAUAAGGUGCAGUCAGGAAAACCUAAUUAGGGAAGAAAUCAAACUACAGUGGCUGGUGGGAAGGCUUGAGGAUAUGAGAGUUCUUCCCGUGAUCGGCUAGUUUUUCUCACAACCUGUCUCAUUGGGCAUAUGGUGGAAGUCCAUGUGAAAAAUGGAUCAAUUUACACUGGAAUAUUUCAUGCAACUGAUGCAGAAAAGGAUUUUGGAAUAAUCUUGAAAAUGACUCGCAUGAUAAAGGAAGGUACUUCGCAAGGAAACAAGGUUGUUACUGAGUUUGUUAGCAAGGCACCCACAAAGAUUUUAAUUAUACCUGCCAAAGAACUUGUGCAAGUUAUAGCAAAGGUUUUGCUAAUUUUCCUAU